AGAGGCCAAACCGAAGGACCUGGUUCUUCGGGGUUGUGGACUGCAUCAAGCGAUGGAGGCUAUGGUAGUCGAACUGUUUUGGGAAAGCAGACCAAAGACGGUGAAAGUCCGGUAGACGAAACCAGAAGACCCGCUGCAGGAUCCAGAGUACCACGGGACACGAGAAACCCUGUGGGAAGCCGGGGGGACCACCCCCCAAGCCUAAAUACUCCCCAGUGACCGAUAGUGAAGCAGUACUGUGAAGGAAAGGUGAAAAGAACCCCGGGAGGGGAGUGAAAAAGAACCUGAAACCUUGUGCUUACAAACAGUCAGAGGUCUACGGACUGAUGGCGUACUUUUUGUAGAACGGUCCGGCGAGUUACUAAUGCCAGCGAGGUUAAGUGGUCAGAAGCCACGGAGCCGAAGGGAAACCAAGUCUGAACAGGGCGUAAAGUUAGUAUUAGUAGACCCGAAACCGGGUGACCUAUCCAUGUCCAGGUUGAAGGAGCCGUAAAAGGCUUUGGAGGACCGAACACACAUCUGUUGAAAAAGGUGGUGAUGAGGUGUGGAUAGCGGAGAAAUUCCAAUCGAACUCGGAGAUAGCUGGUUCUCCUCGAAAUAGCUUUAGGGCUAGCCUCGAGAUGGAGUCUAACGGAGGUAAAGCACUGAACUGACGCGGGGCCCAAAAAGGUUACCAACUCAUAUCAAACUAAGAAUGCCGUCAAGAUACCCUCGGGAGUCAGUCUGCGUGAGAUAAGUCGCGUGGACAAAAGGGAAAGAGCCCAGACCGACAGCUAAGGUCCCAAAGUACGUGUUAAGUGGAAAAGGAUGUGGGAUUUCAUAGACAACUAGGAUGUUGGCUUAGAAGCAGCCAUACAUUUAAAGAGUGCGUAACAGCUCACUAGUCGAGAAAACCUGCGCCGAAAAUUUAACGGGGCUAAAACACGACACCGAAGCUACGGCUUGACAGCUAACGCUGUUAGGGGUAGAGGAGCAUCCUGCAAGGACGAAGCCAAAGUGGAAACGAUGGUGGACGAAACAGGAGAGAGAAUGCCGGAAUGAGUAGCGAGAUAGAAGUAAGAAACUUCUAGGCCGAAUAUCUAAGGUUUCCUGGGUAAAGCUAAUCUUCCCAGGGUUAGUCGGGGCCUAAGGCGAGGACGAAAGUCGUAGUCGAUGGAUAACAGGUUGAUAUUCCUGUACUACGUAUCAUCAGAACUGUGGGGACGCAGGAGGAUAGGAAAACCGGGGAAUGGAAAAACCCGGCUAAGCACAAAGUCGAGGGAGAUAGGCAAAUCCGUCUCUUGAUGAUGAAGUGCGAUGGGGACUGAACAAAAGUAGGGAAGUUUCCGAAUCCACACUGUCGAGAAAAGCCGCUAUUGUGUGAUACGUACCCGUACCGUAAACCGACACAGGUAGAUGAGGAGAAAAUCCACAGGCCGACGGGAGAAGUGUUGUUAAGGAACUCGGCAAAAUGACCCCGUAACUUAGGGAGAAGGGGAGCCACGCAAGUGGCCGCAGAAAAGAGGCUCAAGCGACUGUUUAGCAAAAACACAGGUCUCUGCGAAACCGAAAGGUGAAGUAUAGGGGCUGACACCUGCCCGGUGCUGGAAGGUUAAAAGGAGAGGUUCGACGUAAGUCAAAGCUUUGAAUUCAAGCCCCAGUAAACGGCGGCCGUAACUAUAACGGUCCUAAGGUAGCGAAAUUCCUUGUCAGGUAAGUUCUGACCCGCACGAAAGGUGUAACGAUUUGAGCACUGUCUCGACAACACGCCCGGUGAAAUUGAAGAACCAGUGAAGAUACUGGUUACCCGCAACAGGACGGAAAGACCCCAUGGAGCUUUACUGCAGCCUGAUACUGGGAUUCGAUGAUAUAUGUACAGGAUAGGAGGGAGACUAGGAAUCCGGGACGCCAGUUUCGGAGGAGUCGACGGUGGGAUACCUCUCUUAUGUUAUUGGAUUUCUAACUUGGCACCGUGAUCCGGUGUGAGGACAAUGUCAGGCGGGCAGUUUGACUGGGGCGGUCGCCUCCUAAAAGGUAACGGAGGCGCUCGAAGGUCACCUCAGAAUGAUUGGAAACCAUUCAAAGAGUGUAAAGGCAAAAGGUGGCUUGACUGCGACACCGACGGGUGGAGCAGGUACGAAAGU
Molecule: ribosomal RNA, 2123 nt
Filed under: human gut metagenome
Description: bacterial LSU rRNA
Rfam family: Bacterial large subunit ribosomal RNA
Source: RNAcentral